RNAcentral lists this ribosomal RNA (497 nucleotides) under uncultured bacterium. RNAcentral's name for it is "partial 16S ribosomal RNA". It matches the Rfam family "Bacterial small subunit ribosomal RNA", at positions 28 to 507 of the family's 1533-position model. The record is from RNAcentral.
GAUGAACGCUGGCGGCGUGCCUAAUACAUGCAAGUCGGGCGAACAGACGAGGAGCUUGCUCCUCUGACGUUAGCGGCGGACGGGUGAGUAACACGUGGAUAACCUACCUAUAAGACUGGGAUAACUUCGGGAAACCGGAGCUAAUACCGGAUAAUAUAUUGAACCGCAUGGUUCAAUAGUGAAAGACGGUUUUGCUGUCACUUAUAGAUGGAUCCGCGCCGCAUUAGCUAGUUGGUAAGGUAACGGCUUACCAAGGCAACGAUGCGUAGCCGACCUGAGAGGGUGAUCGGCCACACUGGAACUGAGACACGGUCCAGACUCCUACGGGAGGCAGCAGUAGGGAAUCUUCCGCAAUGGGCGAAAGCCUGACGGAGCAGCGCCGCGUGAGUGAUGAAGGUCUUCGGAUCGUAAAACUCUGUUAUUAGGGAAGAACAAAUGUGUAAGUAACUAUGCACGUCUUGACGGUACCUAAUCAGAAAGCCACGGCUAACUACGUG